UGAACGCUGGCGGCGUGCCUAAUACAUGCAAGUCAAGCGAACAGACGAGGAGCUUGCUCCUCUGACGUUAGCGGCGGACGGGUGAGUAACACGUGGAUAACCUACCUAUAAGACUGGGAUAACUUCGGGAAACCGGAGCUAAUACCGGAUAAUAUAUUGAACCGCAUGGUUCAAUAGUGAAAGACGGUUUUGCUGUCACUUAUAGAUGGAUCCGCGCCGCAUUAGCUAGUUGGUAAGGUAACGGCUUACCAAGGCAACGAUGCGUAGCCGACCUGAGAGGGUGAUCGGCCACACUGGAACUGAGACACGGUCCAGACUCCUACGGGAGGCAGCAGUAGGGAAUCUUCCGCAAUGGGCGAAAGCCUGACGGAGCAACGCCGCGUGAGUGAUGAAGGUCUUCGGAUCGUAAAACUCUGUUAUUAGGGAAGAACAAAUGUGUAAGUAACUAUGCACGUCUUGACGGUACCUAAUCAGAAAGCCACGGCUAACUACGUG
RNAcentral lists this ribosomal RNA (495 nucleotides) under uncultured bacterium. RNAcentral describes it as "partial 16S ribosomal RNA". It matches the Rfam family "Bacterial small subunit ribosomal RNA", at positions 30 to 507 of the family's 1533-position model. The record is from RNAcentral.